AACGUAGGAUCCGAGCGUUGUCCGGAAUCACUGGGUGUAAAGGGUGCGUAGGCGGGCUUGCGCGUCAAGGGUUAAAGACCUCGGCUUAACCGAGGGAAUGCCCUUGAUACGGCAGGUCUUUAGGGCGGGGGAGGAGGGUGGAAUUCCUGGUGUGGCGGUGAAAUGCGAAGAGAUCCGGGGGACAACCGAAGGGGAGGGCAGCCAUCUGGACCGCCACUGACGCUGAGGCACGAAAGCGUGGGGAGCAAACAGG
RNAcentral lists this ribosomal RNA (253 nucleotides) under uncultured bacterium. Its description in RNAcentral is "partial 16S ribosomal RNA". It matches the Rfam family "Bacterial small subunit ribosomal RNA", at positions 524 to 776 of the family's 1533-position model. The record is from RNAcentral.